Molecule: transfer RNA, 76 nt
Filed under: Christensenella hongkongensis
Lineage: Bacteria; Bacillati; Bacillota; Clostridia; Christensenellales; Christensenellaceae
Also listed under: 3 other names
Description: Catabacter hongkongensis tRNA-Ala
Rfam family: tRNA
About the family: Transfer RNA (tRNA) molecules are approximately 80 nucleotides in length. Their secondary structure includes four short double-helical elements and three loops (D, anti-codon, and T loops).
Source: RNAcentral
GGGGCAUUAGCGCAGCUGGUAGCGCACCACAAUGGCAUUGUGGGGGUCAGGAGUUCGAAUCUCCUAUGCUCCACCA